Molecule: ribosomal RNA, 461 nt
Filed under: uncultured bacterium
Lineage: Bacteria
Description: partial 16S ribosomal RNA
Rfam family: Bacterial small subunit ribosomal RNA
Source: RNAcentral
GACGAACGCUGGCGGCGUGCUUAACACAUGCAAGUCGAACGGAAAGGCCCUUCGGGGUACUCGAGUGGCGAACGGGUGAGUAACACGUGGGUGAUCUGCCCUGCACUUUGGGAUAAGCCUGGGAAACUGGGUCUAAUACCGAAUAGGACCACGCGCUUCAUGGUGUGUGGUGGAAAGCUUUUGCGGUGUGGGAUGGGCCCGCGGCCUAUCAGCUUGUUGGUGGGGUAAUGGCCUACCAAGGCGACGACGGGUAGCCGGCCUGAGAGGGUGACCGGCCACACUGGGACUGAGAUACGGCCCAGACUCCUACGGGAGGCAGCAGUGGGGAAUAUUGCACAGUGGGCGCAAGCCUGAUGCAGCGACGCCGCGUGAGGGAUGACGGCCUUCGGGUGGUAAACCUCUUUCACCAGGGACGAAGCGUAAGUGACGGUACCGGGAGAAGAAGCACCGGCCAACUACGU